GACCACGUAGCUCAGUUGGAAGAGCAUUGGGCUAGUAUUCCAAAGGUCGUAGGUUCGAAUCCCACCAUGGCCG
Paramuricea clavata is the source of this 73-nucleotide non-coding RNA. The record is from the annotation of a GenBank genome assembly. Lineage: Eukaryota; Metazoa; Cnidaria; Anthozoa; Malacalcyonacea; Plexauridae.